GCAGUGAUGGUUCCGAGUGGUUAAGGAGUUUGACUAGAAAUCAAAUGGGCUCUGCCCGCGCAGGUUCGAAUCCUGCUCGCUGCG
This is a non-coding RNA of Ascaris suum (pig roundworm), 84 nucleotides long. Lineage: Eukaryota; Metazoa; Nematoda; Chromadorea; Rhabditida; Ascarididae. The record is from Rfam.